AAACGACUGCUAAUACCUGAUGUGCCGAGAGGUGAAACAUUUAUGGCCUGUGGAUGAGCUCGCGUCUGAUUAGCUAGUUGGUGGGGUAAGAGCUCACCAAGGCGACGAUCAGUAGCUGGUCUGAGAGGAUGAUCAGCCACACUGGAACUGAGACACGGUCCAGACUCCUACGGGAGGCAGCAGUGGGGAAUUUUCCGCAAUGGGCGAAAGCCUGACGGAGCAAGACCGCGUGGGGGAUGAAGGUUUGUGGAUUGUAAACCCCUUUUGAUUGGGAAGAAUAACUGACGGUACCAAUCGAAUAAGCCUCGGCUAACUCCGUGCCAGCAGCCGCGGUAAUACGGAGGAGGCAAGCGUUAUCCGGAAUUAUUGGGCGUAAAGCGUCCGUAGGUGGUUUAGUAAGUCUGCUGUUAAAGCGCGGGGCUUAACUCCGUAUCGGCAGUGGAAACUACUAGACUAGAGUGUGGUAGGGGUAGAGGGAAUUCCCAGUGUAGCGGUGAAAUGCGUAGAUAUUGGGAAGAACC
RNAcentral lists this ribosomal RNA (521 nucleotides) under Phormidium sp. ISC 63. RNAcentral describes it as "bacterial SSU rRNA". It matches the Rfam family "Bacterial small subunit ribosomal RNA", at positions 154 to 708 of the family's 1533-position model. The record is from RNAcentral. Lineage: Bacteria; Bacillati; Cyanobacteriota; Cyanophyceae; Oscillatoriales; Oscillatoriaceae.